Molecule: small RNA, 139 nt
Filed under: Mytilus galloprovincialis (Mediterranean mussel)
Lineage: Eukaryota; Metazoa; Mollusca; Bivalvia; Mytilida; Mytilidae
Source: RNAcentral
GAGACAAAAUUGACUUUUGUGAGACAAAAUUGUCUUUUGAGAGACAAAACUCAAUUUUGUGAGACAAAAAUCAAUAUUCAAUUUUGUCUCACAAAAGUCAAUUUUGUCUCACAAAAGUCAAUUUUGUCUCACAAAAGUC